GGAAAACUGCUCUGGCGACUUGACUCAUCUUACCAACAGUGGUUGUCCCUGGAGGAAAAUAAUUACAUUCAGGCAGCUAAUUAUUACAGUCUUAAUAGUACUUUGCUUCCUGUUUUGUUUUAUCACAGGUAAUGUUGUAUUACUUUAUAAACAAGCAAUUCACUGUUUAGCUUUUGUCUCUUUCAUUUUAUAAAUUGACAUUGAUUAACAGCCAAUAAAAGGACAAGCGUUGAAGAUAAAAAAAGAGGGAGAACGGAUGAGGAAUUAUGAAAACAAACAACAGACUGAACACCUAUAUGACUGUGUCAGCAACCGCCACACUUUUGCCCAUGGAUGGAUUAUGUUAUAAGAUGAAGUUUUUAUGUUGUGGAAAAUAAAGGCCUGCAAAGAAAAUAACUUCAUUGCAAGAGGUAAAGCUUCUUCUGCAUUAACAAACCAUGAUGUACUCAGUAGCAUAUGGGCUGUUACUGGGAGACUGUGCACCAUUUUAAAUUAUAUGUUAAAGUAGAUUUUGCCUACAGGUUUUUU
Molecule: long non-coding RNA, 528 nt
Organism: Etheostoma cragini (Arkansas darter)
Lineage: Eukaryota; Metazoa; Chordata; Actinopteri; Perciformes; Percidae
Exons: 2
Source: RefSeq, a predicted model, not a curated record